UACGUAGGGGGCAAGCGUUAUCCGGAAUUAUUGGGCGUAAAGAGUACGUAGGUGGCAACCUAAGCGCAGGGUUUAAGGCAAUGGCUCACCAUUGUUCGCCCUGCGAACUGGGAUGCUUGAGUGCAGGAGAGGAAAGCGGAAUUCCUAGUGUAGCGGUGAAAUGCGUAGAUAUUAGGAGGAACACCAGUGGCGAAGGCGGCUUUCUGGACUGUAACUGACACUGAGGUACGAAAGCGUGGGGAGCAAACAGG
Molecule: ribosomal RNA, 251 nt
Filed under: uncultured bacterium
Lineage: Bacteria
Description: partial 16S ribosomal RNA
Rfam family: Bacterial small subunit ribosomal RNA
Source: RNAcentral